Molecule: long non-coding RNA, 1421 nt
Filed under: Homo sapiens (human)
Lineage: Eukaryota; Metazoa; Chordata; Mammalia; Primates; Hominidae
Description: HSALNT0125730
Source: RNAcentral
GGUUCCAUUUAAUUGGGCACCAGCUCUGCACCAAAACACAUAUGGAACAAAUUAUUCUACCUUUUAAAUCACAGCAAUGUAUAAAUCUGGAAGAAAAUGCUGCAUUUUCUGACCUAGGAAUCCUUUCCCAGAGCUUUAAAAAAAAAAGCUGCUUUUAAAAAAAUUAUUAUUGAAAAAAAUGUUCUAAUAUGUCUUCAGAAUUUUUGAAAACUUAUUUCCAUGGAAUGACAGCUCAAUCACAUAUGGAGAUUUCAUUAAACUGGUUUAACAAGAAUUCCUGUUCAGAAGAGUUUAGUACUGAGCAAGCUGGUUACCAACCUCAAGAGUCUUACACUUUAAAGAUACAAUAAAAUAUAUUCAAACAUAUAUUCUCUUUUCUGAAAUGUGUUGGUAGUAUAUUAACACAACCAGUUAUAUCUCUAGGAUGCCAAGUAAUGUCAAGAAAAAAUUGCUCUGGACAAAGUUAAAUGAGCAAGGAAGACUUUAUUCAAGCUAUUUUAAUAGGGGACAGAGACAAUUGUCAAGAAGACAAUAACUCUUCUUGAAAGUCUAAAAUGUAGCAAAGCUGAGGGGAACUUUAAGGCUGUCUUGGUCGAUAAACAAGAAAAGGGAAACUCUAGCACUGAAAAAGUUACUUUUGAGCAAUAUUUUAAUAAAAGAAAAGCACACAAAUUCCUCUAAAGGAAGGGGAAGCUGUCUGAGGCCGAGGUGGUGCUCUGCCAGGAGCAAGCUGACAAGUCUCACUCAAGUGCUGGCAAACAGAGCUUGGGGGCCGGAGCAGGAGCCUGAGCUGGGAGGAGGCUGGCCAUUCAUUCCAGGAAACUAGUGGGUGGAGGGCCUUGAUGCCUGUGAUUAAGAGUGUUAAUUUGGAUUGAGAGGUAAUUGGGCAUUGGCACAGGACUCAGAAAGGGGAAAUAAUGCAAUCAAAGAGAGGCCUGAGGAAGAUGAUUGUGACACCUGUGAGAGAAUUGAGGCUACAGAGGCUGAGGCGGGAAGACCAAUAAGGAGGUCAUUAUCCUGCUGCCUAGACUGUUAGAGUGCUCCAUCUCUGCACUAAUCCCCACUCUGUCCCUUUUUCUUCAGUGAAGCACUUCUCCUGUCUCUCUCCUUAAUUAUCUUUUCACAAUACAGUCCCUAUGACCACCUUUUAAAAAAUCAAACUGUCCUUCUUAUUUCUUUGAAAUCUCUCCAGAAAGUACACUUGAACCAUAAGAUUUAAGAUGUAAUUAAAUCAUCAGAUCUUCCAGGCAGAAGAUGUGAAGCGAUAAUUAAGAGUUUCCUAAGUUUGCCUGAUCAUAAGACCCAAGUAGGGAUGUUUAAAACAUGUGUUUAAUUUUUUUUUUUUUUUGAGACAGAGUUUUGCUCUUUGUUGUCCAGGCUGGAGUGCAAAGGCAUGAUCUCAGCUCAUUGCAACCUCUGCC